UCGAGAAUCUUUGUCAAUGGGCGCAAGCCUGAACAAGCGAUGCCGCGUGCGGGAUGAAGGCCUUCGGGUUGUAAACCGCUGUCAGAGGGGAGCAAAUUUUGAGCGAUCCUCAGAGGAAGCCCGGGCUAAGUUCGUGCCAGCAGCCGCGGUAACACGAACCGGGCAAACGUUAUUCGGAAUCACUGGGCUUAAAGGGUGCGUAGGCGGCACAGUCAGUCGGGUGUGAAAUCCCCCAGCUCAACUGGGGAACUGCGCCCGAAACUACUGUGCUUGAGGGAGAUAGAGGUGAGCGGAACGAAUGGUGGAGCGGUGAAAUGCGUUGAUAUCAUUCGGAACACCUGUGGCGUAAGCGGCUCACUGGGUCUCUUCUGACGCUGAGGCACGAAAGCUAGGGGAGCGAACGGGAUUAGAUACCCCGGUAGUCC
Molecule: ribosomal RNA, 425 nt
Filed under: uncultured prokaryote
Description: bacterial SSU rRNA
Rfam family: Bacterial small subunit ribosomal RNA
Source: RNAcentral